RNAcentral lists this ribosomal RNA (305 nucleotides) under uncultured bacterium. RNAcentral's name for it is "bacterial SSU rRNA". It matches the Rfam family "Bacterial small subunit ribosomal RNA", at positions 337 to 639 of the family's 1533-position model. The record is from RNAcentral.
UCCUACGGGGGGCAGCAGUGAGGAAUAUUGGUCAAUGGUCGGGAGCCUGAACCAGCCAAGUCGCGUGAGGGAAGACGGUCCUAUGGAUUGUAAACCUCUUUUGUCGGGGAGCAAAGAGACCACGUGUGGUCAAAAGCGAGAGUACCCGAAGAAAAAGCAUCGGCUAACUCCGUGCCAGCAGCCGCGGUAAUACGGAGGAUGCGAGCGUUAUCCGGAUUUAUUGGGUUUAAAGGGUGCGUAGGCGGGACGGUAAGUCAGCGGUAAAAAUGCGGAGCUCAACUCCGGCGAGCCGUUGAAACUGUCGU